Molecule: long non-coding RNA, 399 nt
Filed under: Salmo salar (Atlantic salmon)
Lineage: Eukaryota; Metazoa; Chordata; Actinopteri; Salmoniformes; Salmonidae
Description: lncRNA (ENSSSAG00000116130.1)
Source: RNAcentral
GUGUCUCUCUCCUGUUGCAAGGUUGUAGUACUGAGGCUGCUGUUUUGACCACUGUGUGUCUCUCUUCUGUUGCAAGGUUGUAGUACUGAGGCUGCUGUUUUGACCACUGUGUUUCUCUCUUCUGUUGUAUUGUUUAUUGAUACCAAUCAUGGGAAACAGCAGUUUGGUAGUUAACCUCUGUCUCUGUGUAUUAACAGGUCGUCGUGUUAACCUCUGUGUAUUAACAGGUCGUCGUGUUAACCUCUGUGUAUUAACAGGUCGUCGUGUUAACCUCUGUCUCUGUGUAUUAACAGGUCGUCAUGUUAACCUCUGUGUAUUAACAGGUCGUCGUGUUAACCUCUGUGUAUUAACAGGUCGUCGUGUUAACCUCUGUGUAUUAACAGGUCGUCGUGUUAACCU